GAUGAAGAACGCAGCGAAAUGCGAUAAGUAGUGUGAAUUGCAGAAUUCCGUGAAUCAUCGAAUCUUUGAACGCACAUUGCGCCUUCUGGUAUUCCGGAAGGCAUGCCUGUUCGAGAGUCAUUAACAACCGUUUCGAUCCCUUUCUUUCAGAAAUUACAAAGAGGAAAAGGGUUUGGUUAUGGUGGAGGAGGGAAAGGGAGCGUUUAGCCUGUAAAGAAAGAGGCUGUGUUCCGCCUCCCCCCCAAAAUUGUACAGGCGGUCGUGUGCGCCCACGCAUCGAGGUGUUGUAAAAGCUGCCACGGCACUUUUCACCUGUGCAGUGCGAGAUUGGCCAGCCGGUUUAAAAACCCCUCCAAACAAUCAAAGGUUGACCUCGGAUCAGGUAGGGAUACCCGCUGAACUUAAGCAUAUCAAUAGCGGAGGA
This 424-nucleotide unclassified non-coding RNA is filed under the name soil metagenome. Its description in RNAcentral is "partial contains 5.8S ribosomal RNA, internal transcribed spacer 2, and large subunit ribosomal RNA". The stretch from base 1 to 120 matches the Rfam family "5.8S ribosomal RNA", at positions 35 to 154 of the family's 154-position model. The record is from RNAcentral.